GUGCCAGCAGCCGCGGUAAUACAGAGGUUGCAAGCGUUGUUCGGAUUUAUUGGGUGUAAAGGGUGUGUAGGCGGUUGGAUAAGUCGGAUGUGAAAUCCUGGAGCUUAACUCCAGAACUGCAUUUGAUACUGUCCAGCUAGAGUACGUUAGAGGAAAGGGGAAUUCCCGGUGUAAGGGUGAAAUCUUCAGAUAUCGGGAGGAACACCAGUGGCGAAGGCGCCUUUCUGGGACGAUACUGACGCUGAAACACGAAAGCUAGGGGAGCGAACAGGAUUAGAAACCCCCGUAGUCC
This 292-nucleotide ribosomal RNA is filed under the name uncultured bacterium. Its description in RNAcentral is "partial 16S ribosomal RNA". It matches the Rfam family "Bacterial small subunit ribosomal RNA", at positions 505 to 796 of the family's 1533-position model. The record is from RNAcentral.